CCUUUAGUGGGGACAACAUAUGGAAACGUAUGCUAAUACCGAAUAUGCUCUACGGAGUAAAGGUGCCCUCUUCUUGAAAGGUAUCGCUAUAGGAUGAGCCCGCGUGAGAUUAGCUAGUUGGUAAGGUAAUGGCUUACCAAGGCGACGAUCUCUAGCUGGUUUGAGAGGAUGAUCAGCCACACUGGGACUGAGACACGGCCCAGACUCCUACGGGAGGCAGCAGUGGGGAAUAUUGCACAAUGAGCGAAAGCUUGAUGCAGCCAUACCGCGUGUGUGAAGAAGGCCCGAGGGUUGUAAAGCACUUUCAAUUGUGAGGAAGGUAGUAUAACUAAUACUUAUAUUGCUUGACGUUAACUUUAGAAGAAGCACCGGCUAACUCUGUGCCAGCAGCCGCGGUAAUACAGAGGGUGCAAGCGUUAUUCGGAAUUACUGGGCGUAAAGCGCGCGUAGGCGGACUAUUAAGUCAGUUGUGAAAGCCCUGGGCUCAACCUGGGAACUGCAUCUGAUACUGGUAGUCUAGAGUUUAGUAGAGGGAAGGGGAAUUCCUAGUGUAGCAGUGAAAUGCGUAGAUAUUAGGAGGAACAUCAGUGGCGAAGGCGCCUUCCUGGACUAAAACUGACGCUGAGGUGCGAAAGCGUGGGUAGCGAACGGGAUUAGAUACCCCGGUAGUCCACGCCGUAAACGAUGUCAACUAACUGUGGCCUUAU
This 707-nucleotide ribosomal RNA is filed under the name Thiomicrospira sp. Its description in RNAcentral is "bacterial SSU rRNA". It matches the Rfam family "Bacterial small subunit ribosomal RNA", at positions 130 to 831 of the family's 1533-position model. The record is from RNAcentral. Lineage: Bacteria; Pseudomonadati; Pseudomonadota; Gammaproteobacteria; Thiotrichales; Piscirickettsiaceae.